GUUUUCAGAAGCCUGCUUUGUUUGAUGCUGUUGUACAGACUUGAACAGCAACAUAACUCGUCUAUUUUGUCUGACUUGGAGUCGAUUUUUGUUAUCAGUAUGGUAAUAUCAGCACAAACCCUCAGUCUAUCGCGAUCGGCUCACUCACUCUCUGUCUCAAUCGUAACUUUUAAGCAUCUGAAUCUCAGCUGUUUUUGAUCCCAACCAGAGCUGUAGAUAAAAUAACUGCUAAAAAACCUUAACAUGGUCCUGAGGGUCUUGCUUGGAGCGUGACUCCUGCUCCCACCUGCUGCCAACAUGGACACUUUGCUAGAAAAUUUACGGGUUAAGGCGCGUGUGGGGCUCAAGGACUUUUGACUGGACUUCACCACUCACCUUACCUCAAUCAGGGGGACUGUGGAUAGGGAAGAUGAUGAUGAUGAUGAUGAUGAUAAAAUAACAAGAUGCCUUCUGCUGUGACAAUUGUAUGAAUUAACAUGUAUUACUAAGACUCAUUAAGUAGAUUAUUUCUGAAAAUGGCUUUUAGGGCUAUAGAUAUAUAAAUUUUUUUUUAUUGUUUUUUGGUUUUUUGGCUAUUUCCCUGCUUUUUUUUUCCUUGUUUUGGACAUGCUGUAGCAACAGAGACACAGAGAUUACUUAUAGAGCAGAUUUAUGAAUACAGUGAUGAUAAUUAUAAUGGUAAUGUGAUUAUUAUAGGGAGGCGUGUGUGUGUGUGUGUGUGUGUGUGUGUGUGUGUGUGUGUGUGUGUGUGUGUGUGUGUGUGUGUGUGUGUGUGUGUGUGUGUGUGUGUGUGUGUGUGUGUGUGUGUGUGUGUGUGUGUGUUAGUGUGAGUAAGUGAGAGUGUGUGCGUGUGUGAGAGAGCUUCACGUGUACCCUCAGAACAGAAACAGGACUCUGUCUCUUGUCUCUUACAACCUCUCAGGAAAAUCUACCUCUACCUCCAGUUUGAUGCAUUUAACCCGGUGAGGGCUCAAGUUACAGUUUGGCAGGAAGAGGACACGAGAACGGGCGCCGGCGUUUGAACUGAACUUCAGCCGACCUCGAUUGAUAUGAACGCCGUGCUUGUGCUAGAUACAAACAAGACAUUCUUGGUUGAGAGGUUCAUUUCUGACGCCGGGGCGUCCGCCGCCCUCUUGUUUGUCGUUACACUUUCGUAACACUUCUGCUGUUUAGCUUAUUUGAGUACCAACAACAGGGAACCUCCAGCUCAACAGCUAACUACUACCAGUACUCGGACAAGUACUGCUUCUCGCACCACUGUCAGUUCAGAGUUUUGCAGUCUGCUCUAUUAAUGUGUGCUUUUUCCUCUUUUUUCUUCUAUCAACUAUCACAUUUUUUCACAAGUGGGAUGUUUCCCCAAUGGCCACCACAUCAGUGAUGUGGCAGCGGGGCAAUGCAACUGUUUAUUUUGAAGGGUGAAGAUCUGUUCUUGCCUAUUUACUCAAUAUAUGUUAGUGUGAAUACUUUUAUUUUGAAUCUGAAAUUAAUAAAAUAUCACCUUUGUUAAAUGUCA
This is a long non-coding RNA of Oreochromis aureus, 1513 nucleotides long. Lineage: Eukaryota; Metazoa; Chordata; Actinopteri; Cichliformes; Cichlidae. The record is from Ensembl.